This 251-nucleotide ribosomal RNA is filed under the name uncultured prokaryote. RNAcentral describes it as "partial 16S rRNA". It matches the Rfam family "Bacterial small subunit ribosomal RNA", at positions 525 to 775 of the family's 1533-position model. The record is from RNAcentral.
ACGUAGGGGGCGAGCGUUGCCCGGAAUUACUGGGCGUAAAGGGAACGUAGGUGGCUCUUAAAGUCAGGUGUGAAAAUAACGAAGCUUAACAGGUUAAUGCGCUUGAAACUAAAGGGCUUGAGGGCAAUAGAGGGAGAUGGAAUUACCUGUGUAGGGGUGAAAUCCGCAGAUAUAGGUAAGAAGGCCGGUGGGGAAGCCGAUCUCCUGGGUUGACUCUGACACUGAGGUUCGAAAGCUAGGGGAGCAAACCG